Molecule: long non-coding RNA, 854 nt
Filed under: Manacus vitellinus (golden-collared manakin)
Lineage: Eukaryota; Metazoa; Chordata; Aves; Passeriformes; Pipridae
Description: lncRNA (ENSMVIG00005015356.1)
Source: RNAcentral
CCCAGCAAAAGCUAUUUAUGGUGCUGUGGCUCCAGGACAGACUACCUCAUGGAGCCACAGCCUAUUCUGCUGCUUUAAGGACUUCACCUUCCUAAGCAGCAGAAGGUACACUGCCCUGGACUUUGCUGCUGGCACAAUUAAUGUCAGUCCUGGAGUCCCACCACUGUAAUAGUGUGAGCUACAGGAUGUGCAUUUUCCAUGCCCUGAGUUGACCUUGGGUGUGCAAAACUUUGGUGAAGCUUUACUGUGUAGACAAGGCCUUAGGCAGGUAGAAUUUGCCAAAUGUAGUGUUUAAUGAGACAGCCAAGUGAGUGUAACACACAGCAAGUUCAGUAAAGCCCCUGAGGCCUGGGGUCCGAGGAAUGUGCUGUGAUGUAACAAAAUGAGUGAGUGAUCCCUUUCAUCCACCUCCCUGGUUAGGCUGAACCUGGCUCCUCAGGGAUACAGGGAGAGGCCCAGAGCACAGGGAAACCAACAGCCUUGCCUGGCUCCUGAAGGGUCUGGGGGGGCCUCACUGUGCUGACCAGGAUCUGUCCUCCUGUCCUGGUGCUCCCAGCACAGUGGUGUCCUCAGGACGCUGGGAAAAAACUGCUCACCAGUCUUGUGGUUUGUGGAUGAGGAUCAGAACCCAUUGCUCUGUCCAUGGGAGGGAAGGCACUGAUCACUGGAAUUUGGAAAUGUAUUGAGAGGACCCUGAAACAAACAGAAGUGUAGCCCAGAAGCAAGCCCUGGAGGAUGGAAGCACAGCCCUGCAAAGGCUGAGGUAUAGCUGAGGCAGGGAGGGGGAGGAGGAACAUUGAAGUGCUGCCUGUUUGGCUCCCCCUGCUCCCAUUUCUGCUCUGGGAACACAACCU